UAUAUGUUCUUUUUUGUCUGUGUUUUUUUUUUUUUUUUAGUUUAUUGUUGACUUGUUUACUUUUCCUUUUUUGUUUUUUUUUUUUUCCUUUUGCUUUUUUUUUUUUUGGGUUUUUUUCUUUUGUUUUUUUCUUUUAGCCAUUAUAUCUGAAAUGUGAUCCUAUAAUGUUUUUUUGAAUUCUCAGCAUAUUUCUGAUUAUUAUGGAAACUUGCCGUGUUCCCCGUGGGGAUAAAAAAGAAAAAAGAAACAGAUUUAAAGGCCCCAUUUCAUUAUGCAUAAUCCAGUAGCUGCAUUGUUGGAUUCCGUGGCAUUGUUGGAGAAGGUCAUCAAGAGGACACAUGAUCCACCAGUUGACUCAGGAGCUACACUUGGGCAUUCGGAGACUCCCCGCCCCCUCCCAUGUUCUUGGAAUGUGCAUUCUACCCACUGUUCCUCAUCUUUUGGUCACCCAAGAUAAGCCUUAUGAAGAGACAGAAGGAUUAAGGAUCUCAUUAAAGUUUUUGGAACUAAUAAGUGGCCAGCUGAAAUUUGAACCCAGGGAAUUUCACAAAACAAGCCUGACUUUCUUAACUGCUAGGCUGUACUAUACGAUUCUUAAUUUACCAUUACACUCUCUCCCUGUGUGAAGGACUGUGGACCAUGAACAAUUUGGUAAUGUAUAUUGAUUAGUGUUUUCCUGCUAUGGGUUUGCUGUCAAACUGAUAUUUUGCCUGUCAUUGCUAACCAUUACUCUUCAAUCUCUUUAGAGUUAACAAUUUCAACAUACUUGUUUGCAGUUAAGCUCAGAGUUUAAUGCUAAGUGAACUUCAUAUAUACUAUGUUUUAAUCUUGCACCUGCUAAAUUUAUGCUUCUCCAUUACACCUGUAAAUCUCUCCCUGCCAUAAUAUGAAUGAUUUACCAUUUUCCUCUCAAGGAUUUCCUCGUGUUGUAUUGGCACCUCCUAUUAUAUUUUAGGACAAGGGUAAAAAUAAUGAGACACGGUGAGUUUAAUUCAGCUCCAAAUAUUGCUUCAGAAUAAGCAUCCAAUUAUUAUUAUUUUUUCUUGUGGUAAGUUUUCCGUAAUUGGAAAUGUUGAGGUAAUGCUAUUUUAAAUUCCGAACGGGAAAAUACUUCUAUAGUAUUAAGGUCCUCUCCUUUGUGUGUAUGAGUGAUUGGGUGUGGGUCAAAGAGACUUGGAACAUUAAUUUUAAUUCAGAAGUGGUUCCAGAGAGACAAGUUAAUUUUCGAAAUCAGCCUGGUGAGAGUUGGGGAUUGGAAAAUGCAUUCAAGGAAAAAUGUCUUAUACUCUGCUAGAACAAUUAUGAGGUAAUAGGCUCAGGAGAAACUGGCCACCAAGGUUUAGUAACAAUUCUAGAAUUGUGGCUGAUUUGCUUGAAAAUCUCAAAUACCACAUCUUGCUGAUUCUAAGACAAAUUACUUUUCACAUUUUAAUAUUUAUGAAGUCAGACUACACCUUGUAGUUGAUGAAUAUGUGGUAGGAUAUUAACAUGGAGGUUUGGGUUGAGGCUAAAAUAGAAAGUAUAUUUUCAAAGUAGAUGGUAGCAGAAGGAAUCAAGACUGUUUAUAUUUUUUAGUUUUACUUUUAUUAUUUUUUAAGAUUUAUUUACUUAUUUGAGAGAGAGGAGGAGGGCAAGUCAGGGCAGGGCAGGGGAGAGGGAGAGAGAGAAUCUCCAGAAAACUCCCCACUAAGUGUGGAGCCCAAUGCUGGGCUCGAUCUCACAACCCUGAGAUCAUGACCUGAGCUGAAAUCAAGUUGGUCAGAUGCUUAACCAACUGAGCCACCCAGGUGCCCUUUAUUGUAAUUGUAGCAAAAUAUACAUAGCAUGAAAUUUACUGGCUUAACCACUUUUGAGUGUACAACCUGGUGGCAUUAAGUGCAUUUACAUCGUUGUGCAAACAUCCAUCUAUAGAACUUUUUCAUCUUUUCAAACUGAAACUCUACACCCAUCAAAUGACACCUCCCCAUUCUCCCCUCCCUUCAGCCUCUGCCAACCACUGUUCUACUUUCUGUCUCUGUGAAUUUGAAUAUUUUAGGUACCUUGUAUAAGUGGAAUUGUACAGUUUUGUCUUUUGGUGACUUGAUUGUUCAUUUCACAUAGUAUCCUCAGUAUUAAUCUAUGUUGUAGCACAUGUCAGAACUUCCUUCCAUUUUCAGACUGAAUAAUUUAUUCUAUUGGGUGUAGACACCACUUUGUUUUUCUAUUCAUCCAUUGAUGGACACUUGGGUUGCUUCCACUUUUUGGCAAUUGUGAAUAAUGCUGUUGUGAACAUGGGUGUACAAAUAUGUGUUUGGGAACUUCCUUUUGAUUCUUUUGGGUAUAUACCCAGAAGAUGAAUUGCCAGAUCACGAGGUAAUUCUAAGUUUUUGAGGGACCGCCAUACUUUUUCCCAUAAGGGAGUCAUCAUUUUGCAUUUCUACCACCAGGGCACAAGUAUUUCAAUUUCUUCACACCCUUGUUAAUAUUUGUUUUUUUUUUUUCUGCUUUCCUGAUGUUAGCCAUCUGAAUGGAUGUGAGGUGGAGGAAUGAUGACUCUUAAUGACCUUACUCAUAUAGAAGGUAUAAUAAAGGGGCAGAGACUGGAUAUUUGGGGAUGACCUUGGGAGGAGGAUGUUGAUGGAGAGCUGCUGAUAUGACCCCCACAGGGAGGACAAGUCAAAUAAAGCCUACGGAGAAGUAUAAGUUGUGUUUCCUCUGUUUUCUCAAGUCAAAGAAGAAUUCCCCCCACUCAGGUGUAAGGAGACCACUCGCAGAUCUAAUACGCACACCUGCAAUCUGGACUGGGGUGGUGUUGAUACCAUCUCAUGAUGGUAACAGUCAGGUUGGAACUUUCCUGCUCCUUUGCCUCCUCUCCUCCUCCUCACUGUAGCUCUGGAGGGGUUGGGAACUGCCAUAAGCAAGUUGUAGGUGGGAAUGGAAGCCUAGACUAGAAGAAGAAGAAGCAGUUGACCACAUCCCAUUAUCUGCUCGCUUUCCAUCUGCAAAUACACAUAAAGGAG
RNAcentral lists this long non-coding RNA (2999 nucleotides) under Mustela putorius furo (domestic ferret). RNAcentral describes it as "lncRNA (ENSMPUG00000031621.1)". Lineage: Eukaryota; Metazoa; Chordata; Mammalia; Carnivora; Mustelidae. The record is from RNAcentral.